UCGAGGAUCUUCGGCAAUGGGCGCAAGCCUGACCGAGCGACGCCGCGUGUGCGAUGAAGGCCUUCGGGUUGUAAAGCACUGUCGAGGGGGAGGAAGCCGCAAGGUUGACCUAUCCCUGGAGGAAGCACGGGCUAAGUUCGUGCCAGCAGCCGCGGUAAGACGAACCGUGCGAACGUUGUUCGGAUUCACUGGGCUUAAAGGGCGCGUAGGCGGGCAUUCAAGUCAGGGGUGAAAUCUUUCGGCUCAACCGGAAACAGCCCCUGAUACUGGAUGUCUCGAGGGAGGUAGGGGCCUGUGGAACUUCCGGUGGAGCGGUGAAAUGCGUAGAUAUCGGAAGGACGCCGGUGGCGAAAGCGACGGGCUGGACCUCUUCUGACGCUGAGGCGCGAAAGCCAGGGGAGCAAACGGGAUUAGAUACCCCGGUAGUCCUGGCCCUAAACGAUGGGUACUAGGUUGUGGACUUGACAUGGGUUCACAGCCGAAGCAAAAGGUGGUAAGUACCCCGCCUGGGGAGUA
This 516-nucleotide ribosomal RNA is filed under the name uncultured Planctomycetota bacterium. RNAcentral describes it as "bacterial SSU rRNA". It matches the Rfam family "Bacterial small subunit ribosomal RNA", at positions 355 to 882 of the family's 1533-position model. Lineage: Bacteria; Pseudomonadati; Planctomycetota. The record is from RNAcentral.